UACCUACGGGAGGCAGCAGUGAGGAAUAUUGGUCAAUGGACGAAAGACUGAACCAGCCAUGCCGCGUGCAGGAUGAAGGCUCUAUGAGUUGUAAACUGCUUUUGUAUUAGGGUAAACACCCCUACGUGUAGGGGCUUGAAAGUAUAAUACGAAUAAGGAUCGGCUAACUCCGUGCCAGCAGCCGCGGUAAUACGGAGGAUCCGAGCGUUAUCCGUAUUUAUUGGGUUUAAAGGGUGCGUAGGCGGUUUGAUAAGAUAGAGGUGAAAUGUCGGGGCGCAACCC
This 282-nucleotide ribosomal RNA is filed under the name uncultured bacterium. RNAcentral's name for it is "partial 16S ribosomal RNA". It matches the Rfam family "Bacterial small subunit ribosomal RNA", at positions 335 to 615 of the family's 1533-position model. The record is from RNAcentral.